RNAcentral lists this ribosomal RNA (254 nucleotides) under uncultured bacterium. RNAcentral's name for it is "partial 16S ribosomal RNA". It matches the Rfam family "Bacterial small subunit ribosomal RNA", at positions 524 to 776 of the family's 1533-position model. The record is from RNAcentral.
UACGUAGGGGGCAAGCGUUGUCCGGAUUUAUUGGGCGUAAAGAGCUCGUAGGUGGUUCGGUAAGUCGGAUGUGAAAUCUCCAGGCUCAACCUGGAGGGGUCAUUCGAUACUGCCGUGACUAGAGUUCGGUAGGGGAGUGUGGAAUUCCUGGUGGAGCGGUGAAAUGCGCAGAUAUCAGGAGGAACACCCGUAGCGAAGGCGGCACUCUGGGCCGUACCUGACGCUAAAGCGCGACAGCAUGGGGAGCAAACGGG